GCAUAACGCGAAGAACCUUACCUGGCCUUGACAUGUCCGGAACCCUGCAGAGAUGCUUUGGUGCCUUCGGGAACUCUGAGACAGGUGCUGCAUGGCUGUCGUCAGCUCGUGUUGUGAAAUGUUGGGUUAAGUCCCGCAACGAGCGCAACCCUUAUCCUUUGUUGCCAGCGGUUAGGCCGGGAACUCAAAGGAGACUGCCAGUGAUAAACUGGAGGAAGGUGGGGAUGACGUCAAGUCAUCAUGGCCCUUACGAGUAGGGCUACACACGUGCUACAAUGGCAUAUACAAAGAGAAGCGACCUCGCGAGAGCAAGCGGACCUCAUAAAGUAUGUCGUAGUCCGGAUUGGAGUCUGCAACUCGACUCCAUGAAGUCGGAAUCGCUAAUAAUCGUGGAUCAGAAUGCCACGGUGAAUACGUUCCCGGGUCUUGUACACACCG
RNAcentral lists this ribosomal RNA (438 nucleotides) under uncultured bacterium. Its description in RNAcentral is "bacterial SSU rRNA". It matches the Rfam family "Bacterial small subunit ribosomal RNA", at positions 954 to 1392 of the family's 1533-position model. The record is from RNAcentral.